Clupea harengus (Atlantic herring) is the source of this 448-nucleotide long non-coding RNA. RefSeq lists it as uncharacterized. Lineage: Eukaryota; Metazoa; Chordata; Actinopteri; Clupeiformes; Clupeidae. The record is from RefSeq and is a predicted model, not a curated record. The transcript is spliced from 2 exons.
GGUCCUGGAGGCGAACAGGUCCUGUAGAGAUGGCAGAUUGCAGCCAAUAGUGAAUAUUGAGACACUACAUUGUAUCAACUAUCUUGGGUUUGUGUCAAACGUAAUAAUAGCAUAGGUGCACAUUGUAACAGUGCUCGUUUAUAAGGUUACUGUUGAGAUAUGUCUUCUCAUCCAUUGUUUUUUUGUAUUAUAUUAUUAUUUGUAUUAUUUUGUGUUGCUAAUUUGUAUUCUUAUUUGUUUCAAUUAUGCCCAUUCUAUGUGUUAUGUAAGCUAAGGGCAAAUACACUUAUGGGACUCUUAAUUUGACCCCUGCUAAAUCUAUAAAACUCUUGUUUGUCUCCUGCGUUAUUAAAAACGUGUUUGAGUCUGCCACAGACACUGAUGCUCUGCCGGCGCUGUGAGAUAAGUAAGCUAAUAAACUCUUAAUAUAUGUUAGUAUUUUGAGUGA